Molecule: ribosomal RNA, 460 nt
Filed under: uncultured bacterium
Lineage: Bacteria
Description: partial 16S ribosomal RNA
Rfam family: Bacterial small subunit ribosomal RNA
Source: RNAcentral
CCUACGGGGGGCUGCAGUGAGGAAUAUUGGUCAAUGGACGAGAGUCUGAACCAGCCAAGUCGCGUGAAGGAUGACUGCCCUAUGGGUUGUAAACUUCUUUUAUCUGGGAAUAAAAUGUUCCACGUGUGGGAUUUUGUAUGUACCAUAUGAAUAAGGAUCGGCUAACUCCGUGCCAGCAGCCGCGGUAAUACGGAGGAUCCGAGCGUUAUCCGGAUUUAUUGGGUUUAAAGGGAGCGUAGGUGGAUUGUUAAGUCAGUUGUGAAAGUUUGCGGCUCAACCGUAAAAGUGUAGUUGAAACUGGCAGUCUUGAGUAGAGUAGAGGUGGGCGGAAUUCGUGGUGUAGCGGUGAAAUGCUUAGAUAUCACGAAGAACUCCGAUUGCGAAGGCAGUUCACUGGACUGCAACUGACACUGAGGCUCGAAAGUGUGGGUAUCAAACAGGAUUAGAUACCCGUGUAGUC